AGUUUUCAAAGAAACAUCCCUUUUGUUUAUUGCGAUAUACUGAUUUGUUUUUAUUUAUAAUCCACCCUGUCAUACUCUUCAGUGAAUGUGGAACAUGGAAAAAGAGCCAGCUACUCACCAGCGAUGGGUGGACCCGCCGUCAUGGGAAGAGCCAUGAGGCCCAGCAGGUAUCCUAUGGCCUGUGAGGCCUUCAUGGGCCCAACCAACUCGAACGCUAUGGGCGCCAUCAUUGUGAGGAAGCAGCCGUCACACAAGCCCAGGAACACGCACACUACCGCCAGCGCCUCAAACGCAUGGCAUUGAGGAAUCAAAAUGGACAUCAGGCCAAGAGCGAUGAAGGACACCACCUGAAAAAUACAUGCUGAUGCAAGUCAAUGAGAGCAGAAUACAGAGACAACCACCUCCAGCUUUAAGAAGACCGACAUAUUAAAGUUGGAGUAACUGGUAAAAAGUCGGGCACAUUUAUGAAAUCCUG
Pleuronectes platessa (European plaice) is the source of this 475-nucleotide long non-coding RNA. RefSeq lists it as uncharacterized. Lineage: Eukaryota; Metazoa; Chordata; Actinopteri; Pleuronectiformes; Pleuronectidae. The record is from RefSeq and is a predicted model, not a curated record. The transcript has 3 exons.